RNAcentral lists this small RNA (310 nucleotides) under Histoplasma capsulatum. RNAcentral's name for it is "hypothetical RNA". RNAcentral also lists the same sequence under 1 other name. Lineage: Eukaryota; Fungi; Ascomycota; Eurotiomycetes; Onygenales; Ajellomycetaceae. The record is from RNAcentral.
CCAGUAAAGGGCAAUCCCAACCCGUCUGCACAGGAAGCAGAAGCCUCUGCUUUUGCUGUCCACCGUCACUCGCGUCUUCUGCACUUAUCUGAUUGGCUCAACCCAUGGCGAAUGGAAUUCUCCGAUUUGUGCUUUCCGGUGAUUGGCUGUUGGAGGAACAGCGCCCCUGUCAGGUGCCCCGGGAAGAAGUGGGGCAGCCGAAAGGAAGUUAGGGUCCUCACCAUGGUAACAGCGACAAUAUGGGCCAAUAAGACGCCUGGAAAUCCGGGCGACCCCAGCGGCUCAAAAAGUUUAUUCCAACGAAAGGAGC